UGGGGAAUUUUGGACAAUGGGCGCAAGCCUGAUCCAGCAAUGCCGCGUGCAGGAUGAAGGCCUUCGGGUUGUAAACUGCUUUUGUACGGAACGAAACGGCUCUGGUUAAUACCUGGGGCUAAUGACGGUACCGUAAGAAUAAGCACCGGCUAACUACGUGCCAGCAGCCGCGGUAAUACGUAGGGUGCGAGCGUUAAUCGGAAUUACUGGGCGUAAAGCGUGCGCAGGCGGUUAUAUAAGACAGAUGUGAAAUCCCCGGGCUCAACCUGGGAACUGCAUUUGUGACUGUAUAGCUAGAGUACGGCGGAGGGGGAUGGAAUUCCGCGUGUAGCAGUGAAAUGCGUAGAUAUGCGGAGGAACACCGAUGGCGAAGGCAAUCCCCUGGGCCUGUACUGACGCUCAUGCACGAAAGCGUGGGGAGCAAACA
This 427-nucleotide ribosomal RNA is filed under the name uncultured bacterium. Its description in RNAcentral is "bacterial SSU rRNA". It matches the Rfam family "Bacterial small subunit ribosomal RNA", at positions 355 to 774 of the family's 1533-position model. The record is from RNAcentral.